CUCAUUGGGUGCGUGAGAAGGGAAGGGUGGAUCCUAAAAGAAUUCAGAAAGGCAAGAGACCACCUUACUGAGCUUCAAACUGGGGCUGGGAACGCUGCCAUGAAUUGGGCUUGGUCUGUCUGAAGGGAGCCACCUUUUCGACAAUCCUUAGACUUCUUUUGCCUGUUGGAAUUACACCUUGGAUCGUGGCGAAGUCUAUAGAGGUCAGAUUAAGAAGAACCAAAGCAGAAUAAACGUAGAACCCGAUGCUGAGUUCACGAGUGAGGACGACCUCUUCCUAUAUGCUUUGCUAUACCCUGCGUUUUGAACAUUAAGGACGAGAUAGGAGGCCCAUAAUGUUUCUUCUUGCUUUAAUCCUGUCGUGGCAACGUUGACUUCCACCUGGUUGCAGAGUGAGCCCAUGGGACAGCCCUCUGAAAUUAUACUGCUUACAACCAUGCUGAGUCUGCAAGGACUUCGUCCAAGCCUUUCCGUCCAGGACCUCAAACAGAUCCAAUCACAAGAAGAGAGAUUUCAGGAAAGAGAAAAUUAUUCCUAUCAUCGGGGUUUUUGAAGAACAUGAAAUGACUGGGAAAAUAAUCAUGUUAAGUGGAAAAAAAAAAGAAAUCUAUCUGUUGUAAUUUUCAAAUAAUUUUUAAAUAAAUUUGAAAAAUUAAGAGAACUAUAUAUAUAAUACAUUCCUAAUCUUGUGAAAAAUAUAUAUGCAUUAAUAUUAUUGAAAGAAAUAUAUCAAAAGGUGAACAGCAAUUAUCACCAAUCUAGAUUAUGAGAUUAGGAGUGAUUUUUUUUCUUUGUCCUAUACUAUUUAAUAUUUUCUACCAUUAAAAUAUUCUGAUUUUCUAAUUAGAAUAGUACGUUAGACAAAGAAGGACAAAUAUCACAUGAACUCUCACUCUCUUAUGGAACAGAUCUUGUGGAAUCUAAAAAAGUUGAACUCAUAGAAAAAGAGGAAAAUGAUGGUUACCAGUUAGAAAAAAGGAAUAAGUUCAAGAGAUCUAUUGUACACCAUGGUCAAUAUAGUUAACAAUAUAUUUUAUACUUUAAAAUUGCUAAGGUAGUAGAU
This 1063-nucleotide long non-coding RNA is filed under the name Homo sapiens (human). RNAcentral describes it as "non-protein coding lnc-PCNX1-2:5". The record is from RNAcentral. Lineage: Eukaryota; Metazoa; Chordata; Mammalia; Primates; Hominidae.